RNAcentral lists this ribosomal RNA (407 nucleotides) under uncultured bacterium. RNAcentral's name for it is "partial 16S ribosomal RNA". It matches the Rfam family "Bacterial small subunit ribosomal RNA", at positions 30 to 526 of the family's 1533-position model. The record is from RNAcentral.
AUUGAACGCUGGCGGCAGGCCUAACACAUGCAAGUCGAGCGGAGCGGCGGACGGGUGAGUAAUGCCUAGGAAUCUGCCUGGUAGUGGGGGAUAACGUCCGGAAACGGGCGCUAAUACCGCUAACUAUCACAAUAGCCUAGGUCGGUUUAGCUAGUUGGUGGGGGAAAGGCCUACCUAGGCGACGACCCCUAGCUGGUCUGAGUGGAUGACCAGCCACACUGGAACUGAGACACGGUCCAGACGCCGACGGUAGGCAGCAGUGGGGAAUAUUGCACAAUGGGCGCAAGCCUGAUGCAGCCAUGCCGCGUGUAUGAAGAAGGCCUUCGGGUUGUAAAGUACUUUCAGCGGGGAGGCGUUACCCGCAGAAGAAGCACCGGCUAACUCCGUGCCAGCAGCCGCGGUAAUAC